Molecule: ribosomal RNA, 1000 nt
Filed under: Mycobacterium sp.
Lineage: Bacteria; Bacillati; Actinomycetota; Actinomycetes; Mycobacteriales; Mycobacteriaceae
Description: bacterial SSU rRNA
Rfam family: Bacterial small subunit ribosomal RNA
Source: RNAcentral
AUGAAGUGCGGCGUGCUACCAUGCAAGUCGAACGGAAAGGCCCUUCGGGGUGCUCGAGUGGCGAACGGGUGAGUAACACGUGGGUGAUCUGCCCUGCACUUUGGGAUAAGCCUGGGAAACUGGGUCUAAUACCGAAUAGGACCACGGCAUUCAUGUGCUGUGGUGGAAAGCUUUUGCGGUGUGGGAUGGGCCCGCGGCCUAUCAGCUUGUUGGUGGGGUAAUGGCCUACCAAGGCGACGACGGGUAGCCGGCCUGAGAGGGUGACCGGCCACACUGGGACUGAGAUACGGCCCAGACUCCUACGGGAGGCAGCAGUGGGGAAUAUUGCACAAUGGGCGCAAGCCUGAUGCAGCGACGCCGCGUGAGGGAUGACGGCCUUCGGGUUGUAAACCUCUUUCAGUACCGACGAAGCGCGAGUGACGGUAGGUACAGAAGAAGGACCGGCCAACUACGUGCCAGCAGCCGCGGUAAUACGUAGGGUCCGAGCGUUGUCCGGAAUUACUGGGCGUAAAGAGCUCGUAGGUGGUUUGUCGCGUUGUUCGUGAAAACUCACAGCUUAACUGUGGGCGUGCGGGCGAUACGGGCAGACUGGAGUACUGCAGGGGAGACUGGAAUUCCUGGUGUAGCGGUGGAAUGCGCAGAUAUCAGGAGGAACACCGGUGGCGAAGGCGGGUCUCUGGGCAGUAACUGACGCUGAGGAGCGAAAGCGUGGGGAGCGAACAGGAUUAGAUACCCUGGUAGUCCACGCCGUAAACGGUGGGUACUAGGUGUGGGUUUCCUUCCUUGGGAUCCGUGCCGUAGCUAACGCAUUAAGUACCCCGCCUGGGGAGUACGGCCGCAAGGCUAAAACUCAAAGGAAUUGACGGGGGGCCCGCACAAGCGGCGGAGCAUGUGGAUUAAUUCGAUGCAACGCGAAGAACCUUACCUGGGUUUGACAUGCACAGGACGUGCCUAGAGAUAGGUAUUUCCCUUGUGGCCUGUGUGCAGUGGUGCAUGGCUG